UUUGAAUACUUGACCUCAAAUCAGGUAGGACUACCCGCUG
Molecule: ribosomal RNA, 40 nt
Filed under: Agaricus pallens
Lineage: Eukaryota; Fungi; Basidiomycota; Agaricomycetes; Agaricales; Agaricaceae
Description: partial 28S ribosomal RNA
Source: RNAcentral